RNAcentral lists this ribosomal RNA (377 nucleotides) under uncultured eukaryote. Its description in RNAcentral is "partial 18S ribosomal RNA". It matches the Rfam family "Eukaryotic small subunit ribosomal RNA", at positions 592 to 976 of the family's 1831-position model. The record is from RNAcentral.
CAAUAGCGUAUAUUUAAGUUGCUGCAGUUAAAAAGCUCGUAGUUGGAUUUCGGGUGGGAAUGGCCGGUCCGCCGUUUCGGUGUGCACUUGCUACGCGCACCUUGCUGCCGGGGACGUGCUCUUGAGUUCACGCUCGGGACACGGAGUCGGCGAGGUUACUUUGAGUAAAUUAGAGUGUUCAAAGCAGGCCUACGCUCUGAAUACAUUAGCAUGGAAUAACACGAUAGGACUCUGGCCUAUCUUGUUGGUCUGUAGGACCGGAGUAAUGAUUAAGAGGGACAGUCGGGGGCAUUCGUAUUUCAUUGUCAGAGGUGAAAUUCUUGGAUUUAUGAAAGACGAACUACUGCGAAAGCAUUUGCCAAGGAUGUUUUCAUUAA